RNAcentral lists this ribosomal RNA (406 nucleotides) under uncultured bacterium. Its description in RNAcentral is "partial 16S ribosomal RNA". It matches the Rfam family "Bacterial small subunit ribosomal RNA", at positions 30 to 526 of the family's 1533-position model. The record is from RNAcentral.
AUUGAACGCUGGCGGCAGGCCUAACACAUGCAAGUCGAACGAGUGGCGGACGGGUGAGUAAUGUCUGGGAAACUGCCCGAUGGAGGGGGAUAACUACUGGAAACGGUAGCUAAUACCGCAUACCAUCGGAUGUGCCCAGAUGGGAUUAGCUAGUCGGUGGGGUAAUGGCGCACCUAGGCGAAGAGCCCUAGCUGGUCUGAGAGGAUGACCAGCCACACUGUAACUGAGAAACGGUCCAGACUCCUACGGGAGGCAGCAGGGGGGAAUAUUGCACAAUGGGCGCAAGCCUGAUGCAGCCAUGCCGCGUGUAUGAAGAAGGCCUUCGGGUUGUAAAGUACUUUCAGCGAGGAGGCGUUACUCGCAGAAGAAGCACCGGCUAACUCCGUGCCAGCCUCCGCGGUAAUAC